UAAUCUCAUGGAAUGAAAUAAACUUUCCAGAAUCCUGGUCAUUGGAAGAAGAAAUUCCAACACCACCAAUAGUAAACACGAACAUAGACCAGAUAAUUCAAAUGACUGAUGGGUCUGUAGAAAUCAUGUUUAAUAAUUCUACAAGAAAGGUCAAAAUUCCUGAAAUUGGCAGGUCAAUGUCAAGUAGAAGUUUCGAUACAAGGCCUUCUACUUCUAGAACUAGAAACAAUAAGACAAAUGUUGUAGAAGAAAUAAAUAUAAGUAAAAAUAAUAUUCCCUAUGGAAUUUAUAAGAGUAAGGAAUCUCCUACUCGAUCAGAAAUGAGUUUUCAUAUUUAAUGGAUUACACCCAAGGAAGUUAUAUAAGAAGAAAACUCAAUGAAGAGUUUCAGUCAGAAAGAAAUAAACUAUUUAGAGUAUGGUAUUUGGGAAAAUUUUCUCCAUUAGAAUUAGUAUAUUACAAAAAUAAAUAUUAUGAGGAAUUAGAAUACUAUCAAAAGAUAGAAUAUUUUACCCCUUGGUUUUUAAAAUUUUAUGCAAAUGAGAAAAACCAAGAAAUCGCGGUUCUCCAGAAAACAUGGACAACUANN
Molecule: long non-coding RNA, 589 nt
Filed under: Phoenix dactylifera (date palm)
Lineage: Eukaryota; Viridiplantae; Streptophyta; Magnoliopsida; Arecales; Arecaceae
Description: long non-coding RNA (PDAC_LNC004511)
Source: RNAcentral